AAGCGAAAGUGACGGUACCUGCAGAAGAAGCACCGGCUAACUACGUGCCAGCAGCCGCGGUAAUACGUAGGGUGCGAGCGUUAUCCGGAAUUAUUGGGCGUAAAGAGCUCGUAGGCGGUUUGUCGCGUCUGUCGUGAAAGUCCGGGGCUUAACCCCGGAUCUGCGGUGGG
This 170-nucleotide ribosomal RNA is filed under the name bacterium a16(2011). RNAcentral describes it as "partial small subunit ribosomal RNA". It matches the Rfam family "Bacterial small subunit ribosomal RNA", at positions 461 to 630 of the family's 1533-position model. The record is from RNAcentral.